CUUUUAUGGAGAGUUUGAUCCUGGCUCAGAGUGAACGCUGGCGGCGUGCCUAAUACAUGCAAGUCGAACGAUGAAGCUUCUAGCUUGCUAGAAGUGGAUUAGUGGCGCACGGGUGAGUAACGCAUAGGUCAUGUGCCUCUUAGUUUGGGAUAGCCAUUGGAAACGAUGAUUAAUACCAGAUACUCCCUACGGGGGAAAGAUUUAUCGCUAAGAGAUCAGCCUAUGUCCUAUCAGCUUGUUGGUAAGGUAAUGGCUUACCAAGGCUAUGACGGGUAUCCGGCCUGAGAGGGUGAACGGACACACUGGAACUGAGACACGGUCCAGACUCCUACGGGAGGCAGCAGUAGGGAAUAUUGCUCAAUGGGGGAAACCCUGAAGCAGCAACGCCGCGUGGAGGAUGAAGGUUUUAGGAUUGUAAACUCCUUUUGUUAGAGAAGAUAAUGACGGUAUCUAACGAAUAAGCACCGGCUAACUCCGUGCCAGCAGCCGCGGUAAUACGGAGGGUGCAAGCGUUACUCGGAAUCACUGGGCGUAAAGAGCGCGUAGGCGGGAUAGUCAGUCAGGUGUGAAAUCCUAUGGCUUAACCAUAGAACUGCAUUUGAAACUACUAUUCUAGAGUGUGGGAGAGGUAGGUGGAAUUCUUGGUGUAGGGGUAAAAUCCGUAGAGAUCAAGAGGAAUACUCAUUGCGAAGGCGACCUGCUGGAACAUUACUGACGCUGAUUGCGCGAAAGCGUGGGGAGCAAACAGGAUUAGAUACCCUGGUAGUCCACGCCCUAAACGAUGGAUGCUAGUUGUUGGAGGGCUUAGUCUCUCCAGUAAUGCAGCUAACGCAUUAAGCAUCCCGCCUGGGGAGUACGGUCGCAAGAUUAAAACUCAAAGGAAUAGACGGGGACCCGCACAAGCGGUGGAGCAUGUGGUUUAAUUCGAAGAUACACGAAGAACCUUACCUAGGCUUGACAUUGAGAGAAUCCGCUAGAAAUAGUGGAGUGUCUAGCUUGCUAGACCUUGAAAACAGGUGCUGCACGGCUGUCGUCAGCUCGUGUCGUGAGAUGUUGGGUUAAGUCCCGCAACGAGCGCAACCCCCUUUCUUAGUUGCUAACAGGUCAUGCUGAGAACUCUAAGGAUACUGCCUCCGUAAGGAGGAGGAAGGUGGGGACGACGUCAAGUCAUCAUGGCCCUUACGCCUAGGGCUACACACGUGCUACAAUGGGGUGCACAAAGAGAAGCAAUACUGCGAAGUGGAGCCAAUCUUCAAAACGCCUCUCAGUUCGGAUUGUAGGCUGCAACUCGCCUGCAUGAAGCUGGAAUCGCUAGUAAUCGCAAAUCAGCCAUGUUGCGGUGAAUACGUUCCCGGGUCUUGUACUCACCGCCCGUCACACCAUGGGAGUUGUGUUUGCCUUAAGUCAGGAUGCUAAACUAGCUACUGCCCACGGCACACACAGCGACUGGGGUGAAGUCGUAACAAGGUAACCGUAGGUGAACCUGCGGUUGGAUCACCUCCUUUCU
Molecule: ribosomal RNA, 1507 nt
Filed under: Helicobacter pylori J99
Lineage: Bacteria; Pseudomonadati; Campylobacterota; Epsilonproteobacteria; Campylobacterales; Helicobacteraceae
Description: 16S ribosomal RNA
Rfam family: Bacterial small subunit ribosomal RNA
Source: RNAcentral